Molecule: ribosomal RNA, 468 nt
Filed under: uncultured bacterium
Lineage: Bacteria
Description: partial 16S ribosomal RNA
Rfam family: Bacterial small subunit ribosomal RNA
Source: RNAcentral
GACGAACGCUGGCGGCGUGCUUAACACAUGCAAGUCGAACGGAAAGGCCCUGCUUUUGUGGGGUGCUCGAGUGGCGAACGGGUGAGUAACACGUGAGUAACCUGCCCUUGACUUUGGGAUAACUUCAGGAAACUGGGGCUAAUACCGGAUAGGAGCUCCUGCUGCAUGGUGGGGGUUGGAAAGUUUCGGCGGUUGGGGAUGGACUCGCGGCUUAUCAGCUUGUUGGUGGGGUAGUGGCUUACCAAGGCUUUGACGGGUAGCCGGCCUGAGAGGGUGACCGGCCCCAUUGGGACUGAGAUACGGCCCAGACUCCUACGGGAGGCAGCAGUGGGGAAUAUUGCACAAUGGGCGGAAGCCUGAUGCAGCAACGCCGCGUGCGGGAUGACGGUCUUCGGGUUGUAACCCGCUUUCGCCUGUGACGAAGCGUGAGUGACGGUAAUGGGUAAAGAAGCACCGGCUAACUACGUG